AGUAGGAGGGCGCGGCGG
This 18-nucleotide small nuclear RNA is filed under the name Arabidopsis thaliana (thale cress). RNAcentral's name for it is "snRNA_04816". Lineage: Eukaryota; Viridiplantae; Streptophyta; Magnoliopsida; Brassicales; Brassicaceae. The record is from RNAcentral.